Molecule: long non-coding RNA, 816 nt
Filed under: Homo sapiens (human)
Lineage: Eukaryota; Metazoa; Chordata; Mammalia; Primates; Hominidae
Description: long intergenic non-protein coding RNA 2646
Source: RNAcentral
GGGGGUGCGCGUCUUCCGGCCGACCCUCCUCCUGCUCCUGCUAUGUUGCUGACCCACGCUGCUGGCGCGAGUGGUCUUGCCCCUCGGGACCCGAGGAGGGAGGAGUUCUUCGUUCCCUUCAGCUUUCAGGCCCCAGGGAGAACCUUUCAGUCACAGGCAGCCUAGGUUCAAGAAGAAGAAAACCUGAGGCCUCGGCUCACCCUGACAGGGAAGUGGCGUGGGGACCGCUAAAGGACUGCGAGGUUCCACUGCCCAGGGCUGUCUAACCGCUUGCUUUAGACUGUGGGUGCACGGAGUCCGUCACUCAGCCUCCAGGACCAGGGCUCCUGAUGUGUGAGCGCGUUCCAUUCCCCCAUUCCCACAAGAACCCUCGCUCCCGCGAAGGCCUCCUGAGCUUGCGCGACUCCGCUGGGCCUUGGAGAGCUCUGGGGAGGGAGGCGCCUCUCCAGCACCCAGAUCCCCAGCCUGCAGCGCCUCGGGGCCAGUGUGGCCCGGAAUGGCAGGUGGCAUGAUGUCAUUUUGUCAUUAGGCACCACCGUGGGGACUGCAUGUUGUCAAUGGACCCACUAUGCUCAUGAUGCUCCUUAUCGAGUUCUACCCUGUGCAGCUCCCAGGCCCUGCUGCUGGGGCAGUCGCCUGGGGCCCCUCACCAUCUGACGGCUGUCACCGCAGGCCAGGAUGUGCACUCUCAACAGCCCAGGCUUUGAGGGCUGCUCUGGAGUAUGAUGGAUACUGUAGCUGUUCGCUUUUGAAAAAGAAAGACCUGUGGCGAGAGCAUUUCCUUCUCUAAGUAAACACCUGACUGGGUCCUGUUCA